GGAAGGUUAGUUUAUUUGUAUAAAAUACCAAUUUGUCAUGUUGGAGAAGUUCGACGAGACCACCUUUCU
Molecule: transfer RNA, 69 nt
Filed under: Eudohrnia metallica
Lineage: Eukaryota; Metazoa; Arthropoda; Insecta; Dermaptera; Forficulidae
Description: tRNA-Asp
Source: RNAcentral